Molecule: ribosomal RNA, 1421 nt
Filed under: Clostridioides difficile
Lineage: Bacteria; Bacillati; Bacillota; Clostridia; Peptostreptococcales; Peptostreptococcaceae
Description: partial 23S ribosomal RNA
Rfam family: Bacterial large subunit ribosomal RNA
Source: RNAcentral
UGGUCAAGUUAUUAAGGGUGCAGGGCGGAUGCCUUGGCACUAGGAGCCGAUGAAGGACGUGAUAAGCUGCGAUAAGCUUCGGGGAGUUGCACGUAAACUUUGAUCCGAAGAUUUCCGAAUGAGGAAACUCACUUAGAGUAAUGUCUAAGUAUCAUUAAGUGAAUACAUAGCUUAAUGAGGGGAACUCAGGGAACUGAAACAUCUAAGUACCUGAAGGAAGAGAAAGAAAUUCGAUUCCGUAAGUAGCGGCGAGCGAACGCGGAUUAGCCCAAACCAAUAAAGUUUUCUUUAUUGGGGUUGCGGACAUAUCAUAACGAAGAGGUAUCGUAAUUGAAGAGGUUUGGAAAGACCCACCACAGAAGGUAAUAGUCCUGUAUGUUAAACGAGAAGACUUCAGAUAUGAUCCAGAGUACCACGGGACACGUGAAACCCUGUGGGAAGCAGGAGGGACCACCCUCCAAGGCUAAAUACUACCUAGUGACCGAUAGCGUAUAGUACCGUGAGGGAAAGGUGAAAAGAACCCCGGGAGGGGAGUGAAAUAGAACCUGAAACCCUGCACUUACAAGCUGUGGAAGCACAUUUCUUGUGUGACCGCGUACUUUUUGUAGAACGGGCCAACGAGUUACGUUAAGUAGCAAGGUUAAGCACUUAAGGUGUGGAGCCGUAGCGAAAGCGAGUUUUAACUGAGCGUUCAGUUACUUGACGUAGACCCGAAACCGGGCGACCUACCCAUGAGCAGGAUGAAGCGAAAGUAAAAUUUCGUGGAGGUCCGAACCCACGAGCGUUGAAAAGCUCGGGGAUGACUUGUGGGUAGCGGUGAAAUUCCAAUCGAGCCCGGAGAUAGCUGGUUCUCCCCGAAAUAGCUUUAGGGCUAGCCUCAAGGUGAGAGAUACGGAGGUAGAGCACUGAAUGUCCUAGGGGGUAUUGCACCUACCGAAGACUAUCAAACUCCGAAUGCCGUCAUCUUAUACUUGGGAGUCAGACUGUGGGUGAUAAGAUUCAUAGUCGAAAGGGCAACAGCCCAGAUCGUCAGCUAAGGUCCCUAAAUGUAAGUUAAGUGGUAAAGGAUGUGGGAUUGCACAGACAACCAGGAUGUUGGCUUAGAAGCAGCCACUCAUUCAAAGAGUGCGUAAUAGCUCACUGGUCGAGUGAUCCUGCGCCGAAGAUUUCCGGGGCUAAAACUUACUACCGAAGCUACGGCAUCAGUAAUGAUGGGUAGGGGAGCUUCCCAUACGGGUUGAAGCAUGACCGUAAGGACAUGUGGACAGUAUGGGAGUGAGAAUGUUGGCAUGAGUAGCGAGAUGUGGGUGAGAAUCCCACAGGCCGUAAACCCAAGGUUUCCAGGGGAAGGUUCGUCCGCCCUGGGUUAGUCGGGACCUAAGCUGAGGCCGAAAGGCGUAGGUGAUGGACAACAGGUUGAU